This 1611-nucleotide long non-coding RNA is filed under the name Callithrix jacchus (white-tufted-ear marmoset). Its description in RNAcentral is "lncRNA (ENSCJAG00000083176.1)". Lineage: Eukaryota; Metazoa; Chordata; Mammalia; Primates; Cebidae. The record is from RNAcentral.
AUGCAUCUUUGGUUUCCUCUCCCUUCUUUCCACCCGUAUUUUAAGAGAAAGCAAUGGAUCUGGCUGAUUAGCUGCCUGCCUACACCAAGUUUCUCCAUUAAAGAGACAUUACUGCAAAUGGGAAAGAAGAGCAUAGGAGAGAAUGUACAUAAGAAAGAAAUACAGUCCUUCAAAGACAAAGAAUGUCUUCCCACCUAUUUGGGGCAUGUAUUUGUGUGAGUGUGUGUGUGUGUGUGUGUGUAUGUGUGCAUGUGUGCACACUUAAUCUGAGUGUGUACAUAAAAACUCCUCAUUUUAAAAGGGCUUUAAAAAUAAUUAGGAUUUAUAUAUUUUCAAAAGAGUGGGCAGAGUGCAAUGAGUCACCAAGAGGUGAUUAAGUCAGGUUGUUUGAGGCUUCCUGAGGUGACAGGAUCGUCUGUAGGCUUUAGAAAGAAAGCUUAUAUAGCCUAUUAUCAUGAUGAAGUGAAAUUUAAAAUUACAUUUUAUAUUUGUAAAGGGCUAACAGGCGAGGUCCCUAUGGAUUGUCAAAUACUACAUAAAAUGCUAUAAAAACCAGACCGUAAUCUCUCACUAACUUACACAUUAGCCUCAGGCAGUAAAGAUGGUUUUUAUUGGAACUAGAUUUUGUGAGGGGAAAAAAAAAGUUAUGCACAGUUUAUCCUGGCUUUUCAGGCACUUUGCUUCUUCCUUGAGUUAACAUGACGUAUUCCAAGUGAUUAAAUAAACUUAUCUAGCAGCUCUUUUCAUGCACUUGAAAGAGGCAAAGUAAAGAAGGAUUUACUCUGAAGAGAGGUCUUAAUUCUAUCACUGAAAAGCAUCCCUGUUUUAUUCCAGUUAUUACUGUGAAAACCAAGAAAGGCAAGAAAAAAUUAAAGCUUCUGAAAAAGCCCUUGUAGAGAACUGCUUGUACUCCAUGUACUAUUUCACUUACUACCUUGCACCUUUGAAGAUCAAAAGUAAUACAUGUGGGAAGAAUUCAGAAGACAGAGGAGAUAUUAUUGUCAGUGCCAUGAGUGCAACGUAGGAAAAUAGUAGUUUGGAUUUUAGCUCCUUUAUUGUCACUGAGGUGCUAACCAAGGCUGGUCAAAUAUUUUGAUAGACUGGUACAUUUUUCAUCUUCAAGAGUAACUAACUUUGAACAGCUUACAGUCAGAUUUACAACAUGUGGCAGAUUUAUAAAUGAUCUCUAGAUUCAACAGUCAAGCACUGAGCCUAUUGGUGUCUUUAGUUUUGUGCUUCUUUCAAGAGUUAGGGAUUCGUAGUAGCCGAUAAGCCAGGUUUAAGCUUUUAUGUGGAGACGAACUUGGGGCUCUUUAGAUACGGUUGUUUGGCCAUUUAGAGCUAGCUUGAGCAGAUAUUCAAAGUUCUGAUCUCCCCUAAUGUUUAGGUUGUGCUGGUUGAGGAUUAACCCUCCAUGAUUUAGUAGUCAAGAGGUAGAAUGUGGUGACCAGCAUGAUUCUUGAGAAUCCCAAGUAGGUGGCCCAUGUCUAAUCACAUGCCUUAGGAACUCUUGAAAUGUUAGUAGGGUAAAAAGCACACAUGGCUUUGUUGUCAAACUGACCUUUAUCCCAAUCCUAUACCCGUCGGUUACUAGCUGUAUGACUGUAGGCA